This 459-nucleotide unclassified non-coding RNA is filed under the name Hevea brasiliensis (rubber tree). Lineage: Eukaryota; Viridiplantae; Streptophyta; Magnoliopsida; Malpighiales; Euphorbiaceae. The record is from RNAcentral.
AGGCCACCUUUCUUAGUAAAGGCUUUUGUUUGUGGUCUGCGAUGGGUCUAGCCCCGUGAGCCUCUCCAAACGUUCUCAAAUCGGCCUCUUUGUUGUUGUUGUUACGGGCGUACGGUACUACGGCCUUUAUUAUUCCACUUUCUCAAAAUGUAGAGCAGCGAAUCGAGAGUCUCUCGCUAUGUCCCCAUUCCUUUCUUCGAUUCUAUGGCCGAUCUUCUUUAAUCCAAAGCUGGUGCAAGCAAUCUCAUAGGUGGAUUCACGGGGACGAGAUAGGAAAGCAUCAAGCAAGAAAAGGCUUUUACUAAAUAAGGCCGGUUCUUCUAAGCAAUUAAAGGGCUACGGCUUUCGCGGGCAAUCAAGGCGCGAAUCCCUAGCUUGUUCGAUACCGAUUCCGUUAAAUAUUAAGAUUUGAAUGAAAGUAUAGUGUACACCCCGGCCGCUUUCUUGGAACUAAUUGAU